GGGGAAUAUUGCACAAUGGGCGGAAGCCUGAUGCAGCAACGCCGCGUGCGGGAUGACGGCCUUCGGGUUGUAAACCGCUUUCAGCAGGGACGAAGCGUGAGUGACGGUACCUGCAGAAGAAGCACCGGCUAACUACGUGCCAGCAGCCGCGGUGAUACGUAGGGUGCGAGCGUUGUCCGGAUUUAUUGGGCGUAAAGAGCUUGUAGGCGGUUUGUCGCGUCGGGAGUGAAAACUCAGGGCUUAACCCUGAGCCUGCUUCCGAUACGGGCAGACUUGAGGAAGGUAGGGGAGAAUGGAAUUCCUGGUGAAGCGGUGGAAUGCGUAGAUAUCAGGAGGAACACCAGUGGCGAAGGCGGUUCUCUGGACCUUUCCUGACGCUGAGAAGCGAAAGCGUGGGGAGCAAAC
This 405-nucleotide ribosomal RNA is filed under the name uncultured bacterium. RNAcentral's name for it is "bacterial SSU rRNA". It matches the Rfam family "Bacterial small subunit ribosomal RNA", at positions 356 to 773 of the family's 1533-position model. The record is from RNAcentral.